RNAcentral lists this ribosomal RNA (268 nucleotides) under uncultured bacterium. RNAcentral describes it as "partial 16S ribosomal RNA". It matches the Rfam family "Bacterial small subunit ribosomal RNA", at positions 337 to 621 of the family's 1533-position model. The record is from RNAcentral.
GCCUACGGGGGGCAGCAGUGGGGAAUAUUGCACAAUGGGGGAAACCCUGAUGCAGCAACGCCGCGUGAAGGAAGACGGUUUUCGGAUUGUAAACUUCUGUUCUUAGUGAAGAAUGAUGACGGUACUCUAAGAAUAAGCACCGGCUAACUACGUGCCAGCAGCCGCGGUAAUACGUAGGGUGCGAGCGUUAAUCGGAAUUACUGGGCGUAAAGGGUGUGCAGGCGGUUUUGCAAGAUGGAUGUGAAAGCCCCGGGCUUAACCUGGGAAA